RNAcentral lists this ribosomal RNA (465 nucleotides) under Vreelandella stevensii. RNAcentral's name for it is "partial 16S ribosomal RNA". It matches the Rfam family "Bacterial small subunit ribosomal RNA", at positions 338 to 795 of the family's 1533-position model. Lineage: Bacteria; Pseudomonadati; Pseudomonadota; Gammaproteobacteria; Oceanospirillales; Halomonadaceae. The record is from RNAcentral.
CCUACGGGGGGCAGCAGUGGGGAAUAUUGGACAAUGUGGGGAACCCUGAUCCAGCCAUGCCGCGUGUGUGAAGAAGGCCCUCGGGUUGUAAAGCACUUUCAGUGAGGAAGAACGCCUGGUGGUUAAUACCCAUCAGGAAAGACAUCACUCACAGAAGAAGCACCGGCUAACUCCGUGCCAGCAGCCGCGGUAAUACGGAGGGUGCGAGCGUUAAUCGGAAUUACUGGGCGUAAAGCGCGCGUAGGUGGCUUGAUAAGCCGGUUGUGAAAGCCCCGGGCUCAACCUGGGAACGGCAUCCGGAACUGUCAAGCUAGAGUGCAGGAGAGGAAGGUAGAAUUCCCGGUGUAGCGGUGAAAUGCGUAGAGAUCGGGAGGAAUACCAGUGGCGAAGGCGGCCUUCUGGACUGACACUGACACUGAGGUGCGAAAGCGUGGGUAGCAAACAGGAUUAGAUACCCCUGUAGUC